RNAcentral lists this ribosomal RNA (396 nucleotides) under uncultured bacterium. Its description in RNAcentral is "partial 16S ribosomal RNA". It matches the Rfam family "Bacterial small subunit ribosomal RNA", at positions 523 to 917 of the family's 1533-position model. The record is from RNAcentral.
AUACGUAGGGGGCGAGCGUUGUCCGGAAUGACUGGGCGUAAAGGGCGUGUAGGCGGCGGUGUAAGUCUGGAGUGAAAGUCCCGCAUUCAAUGUGGGAAUUGCUUUGGAUACUGCAGUGCUAGAGUGCGGAAGAGGUAAGUGGAAUUCCCAGUGUAGCGGUGAAAUGCGUAGAGAUUGGGAGGAACACCAGUGGCGAAGGCGGGUAACUGGACUGCAACUGACGCUGAGGCGCGAAAGUGUGGGGAGCAAACAGGAUUAGAUACCCUGGUAGUCCACACUGUAAAUGAUGAAUGCUAGGUGUAGGGGGUAUCGACCCCUUCUGUGCCGCAGUCAACACAAUAAGCAUUCCGCCUGGGGAGUACGGCCGCAAGGUUGAAACUCAAAUGAAUUGGCGGG